CGUGUCCUACGGGGCGCAGCAGUGGGGAAUAUUGCACAAUGGGGGGAACCCUGAUGCAGCGACGCUGCGUGAGUGAAGAAGUAUCUCGGUACGUAAAGCUCUAUCAGCAGGAAAGAAAAUGACGGUACCUGACUAAGAAGCCCCGGCUAACUACGUGCCAGCAGCCGCGGUAAUACGUAGGGGGCAAGCGUUAUCCGGAUUUACUGGGUGUAAAGGGAGCGGAGACGGCGCUGCAAGUCCG
This 241-nucleotide ribosomal RNA is filed under the name uncultured bacterium. RNAcentral's name for it is "partial 16S ribosomal RNA". It matches the Rfam family "Bacterial small subunit ribosomal RNA", at positions 333 to 591 of the family's 1533-position model. The record is from RNAcentral.